This 114-nucleotide ribosomal RNA is filed under the name Cordylochernes scorpioides. Lineage: Eukaryota; Metazoa; Arthropoda; Arachnida; Pseudoscorpiones; Chernetidae. The record is from RNAcentral.
ACGGCCAUUCUACAUUGAAAACAUCAGUUUUCGUCCGAUCACCGAAGUUAAGCAAUGUCAGGCCAGGUCGGUACUUGGGAGGGUGACCACCUGGGAAUACCUGGUGUAUAUGUA